CGCGUAGGUUGAAGUAUAAGUCAGCUGUUAAAUGUUACGGCUUAACCGUAAUUUGCAGUUGAUACUGUAUUUCUUGAGUGUGAGAGGGGAUAGUGGAAUAUCUAGUGUAGCGGUGGAAUGCGUAGAUAUUAGAUAGAACACCUGAGGCGAAGGCGACUAUCUGGCUCACAACUGACACUGAUGUGCGAAAGCAUGGGUAGCGAACAGGAUUAGAUACCCUGGUAGUCC
Molecule: ribosomal RNA, 228 nt
Filed under: uncultured bacterium
Lineage: Bacteria
Description: partial 16S ribosomal RNA
Rfam family: Bacterial small subunit ribosomal RNA
Source: RNAcentral